Molecule: microRNA precursor, 61 nt
Organism: Oreochromis aureus
Lineage: Eukaryota; Metazoa; Chordata; Actinopteri; Cichliformes; Cichlidae
Source: Ensembl
ACCGGUAUUGUUGGCCUGGGUCCUGCUAAGACACACGCUUAGACCAGAUGAUACCAGCCCU